Long non-coding RNA from Scleropages formosus (Asian bonytongue), 1639 nucleotides. NCBI's taxonomy places the organism in Eukaryota, Metazoa, Chordata, Actinopteri, Osteoglossiformes, Osteoglossidae. The record is from Ensembl.
AUGGUUACCGUCUGGAAUUUCAAGACAAUUUAUCUCCUCACUGUUGCUUUUAUAUGGAAAUCUGUCAAUGCAAACUGCCUGCACAGACCCCAGGGAGCAAACUUCUCUUUCCAGCCAGUCUGUAUGUCUUCCAAGCCAUGGAAUGAACAGUUUUUUGCCCUGGACAGUACAGUCAACAUACCAUGUUACAACGAACCAAGGAAACAGAUUAUUUACAACAUCUGGAAUCUGAAAAUGAAAGCAAAUAACUGCUGCAUUGCUUGGCAUUUCAAUGAAAGUCAGAUUGACACCUGCAAAGAUGGAAAAGUGUUGAGAAAUGGAACAAGUGGACAACCCUUUUUGUACAUUCCUCGCUUUACACGUGAAGAUGAGGGAAUCUAUUUUUGUGAGACUGCAUACUUGGGAGGGUGUCACACAGCUAAAAUCCAAGUAUCUGCAAAGAUCCGUCCAGAGAUCUCUGGGAAGUUGGUGCUACAUCAUGACAGGAAAGUGGCUGUGUGCUCGGCUGCUGGAGGUAAACCUGCAGCCACUAUCUCCUGGAGCACCAUAGAAAAUGUGAGCGACCACCACACCGCCACACCAAACCUCGAUGGCACCUUUACUGUAGAGAGACGCUUGGUCCUAUCCAACAACGUUUCCCACAGCAACUUGACAUGCAUCGUCACUCACCCUAGCUUGGGAGAGGCACACAUGGAGAAGAUCCUACCUUCAGGUUGGAAUGAAGGACCUUGUUAUUGUAGUGUAUUAACAUUUUUUGUGCCCAUGAUGUGACUGCAUUGUUAAUUUGAUUGCUGAAGUUAGAAGGCAUUGAAAUUAUUGAAUAACUACCAAGACUAGAGUAAUGGUUGUGAAACAAGACAUGUGGACAAAGGUCACAAGUCCCAGUAAGGAGCUUAGUGUUGUGUCUUUGAGAAGGGUGUUUAACAUCAAAAGUUUCAAUGGAAUACAUAGUUGAACAUAAGAGGAGAAUGGCAAACUACAAAGUUAACUUUAAAAUCGAAAGAUAUAUGUAUGAAUAAGUGUAUGAAAAGGUAUACAUAUUCUUCCAGAAGAUGCAGUUCCAUGGAAAUGGAUUGGAGUCUCCCUGGCUUCCACGGGCCUUAUAGCUUUUAUGCUUACUGGAUUUUUUCUGGCACGGAAACACUUCAGCAAUUUUAGGUAGGAGAUUAUAUUGUUAUAUCUAGGCUUUCAAAUUUAUUGUAUACUUCAAAAGUCAUAUUGUACAGAGGCAUCAAAAAAAAAACUUUUCCAAGAAAAAGAAGGCAGAGAAAAGAUGAACGACUGUCAUUUAAUGUUAUCUGUCACUAUCUUGUCCAGUACUUUACUCCAGCGCUGCUGCAAGUUCCAUAAUCAACUGCCGGCAGAGUCACAGAAGAAACAGGUACAAUAUACAUAUGGUGUAUGCUACUCAUAAUAUGGGUUCUACGUGCAGUCUAAUGUUUUCGGACAGCUGAUGGCAUAAUGGUAGGAACUGUCUUUGGAAGCAAAGGUCGCAUGUUCAACUCUCACCUCCAGCUGUAGCACCAGCAAAAUACUUACCCUGAAUUGCUCCAGUAAAAUUACCCAGCUGUAUGGUUGUAAGUUGCUUUGUAGAAAAGCAUCAGCUAAAUUAAUAAAUAUACAAUUGGCACCUUGUACA